AUAAGAUUUUUAUGAGCAUUGGCUUUGGGUGAUUUGGAGUUUUUAUGACUUUGUAAGAGCUUUACAAAGUCAAGUUUGUUUUCAGAUGACUUGAGAUUUGUGAAAUAAAAUAGGGUUGAUUUUUCUAGUGAUUUCAAGAGUUUUAUAAUAGAUCUAUAGGUGAAAUUUUGUAGGUUAAUGGUCAUAGUUGUGCUUAAUAUGUGUUUUGAAUCUUACCUCGAUCUAAUGGUUGAAUUGAGGGUUAUUGAAGUUUAAGUGAGUUAAGGUCUCAGAAAGUAGAAUUUUAGGUCUAGUGAGGAUUUUUAAGAAUUCUUGCAAUCUACUAGUUGGAUUGGAGUAAAAUUUGUGUGAGAGGAUAUUAGACUUAUUUUUCUAUGUGUAUGAGAAUUUUAAAAUCAAUAAAAUUUUAUAAAGAGAGAUAUUGGCUCUGGGAGAUUGGCAUCAAGGUUGAAGAAGGAGGCCGGCCAAUACCUAAGUACAUUUUUGAGGUUAUCAUCUAUUUGGUAAUUCUAAUCCUUUUCAAAAAUAUUGUACUUGUUUUCAACUUAGUUUUUUAGAAGUAUGCAAAAUUUUAAUUAAGAUCAAUGGUUCAUUCAUUAGUUAUUAAGAUUUAAUUUUGUUAUAGAAAUUACUAGGAUUUAGUUAGGAUUUGAUUUAGGGUUAGGAUUUGGUUACGAUUUGGUUUAGGAUUUAGGAUUAGGGUUAGGAUUUGGUUAGGAUUUGAUUUAGGGUUAGGGUUUGGUUAGGAUUUGGUUAGAAUUUGGUUAGGAUUUGAUUUAAGAUUUAAUUAGGAUUUAAGAUUUGGUUAGGAUUUGAUCAGGAUUUGAUUUGGAAUUUAGGGUUUUAUUUGAGUUUGUUUAGGAUUUAAGAUUUAGUUAGUUUUUGGCCUAAAGUUUGAAUGAAGUAAGAUUUCAACUAGGAUUAAAUUAAGAUUGAAUUGAUAUGUAUUUGAGAUAUGUUUGUAAUCAUUCUAAUAUUUCUUUAAAAUUUCUUAUUAUUUCUUUAGAAUUCUUUUGAGGUUUCUUUGAAUUUGAUUAAAGCUUGUUUAG
Molecule: long non-coding RNA, 1049 nt
Filed under: Physcomitrium patens
Lineage: Eukaryota; Viridiplantae; Streptophyta; Bryopsida; Funariales; Funariaceae
Description: long non-coding RNA (PPAT_LNC007789)
Source: RNAcentral